CCUACGGGGGGCAGCAGUGAGGAAUAUUGGUCAAUGGCCGGGAGGCUGAACCAGCCAAGUCGCGUGAGGGAAGACGGCCCUACGGGUUGUAAACCUCUUUUGUCAGGGAGCAAGGUGCAGGUCGGGACCUGCUGUGAGAGUACCUGAAGAAAAAGCAUCGGCUAACUCCGUGCCAGCAGCCGCGGUAAUACGGAGGAUGCGAGCGUUAUCCGGAUUUAUUGGGUUAAAAGGGUGCGCAGGCGGAGGCACAAGUCAGGGGUAAAAUCGCGGGGCUCAACCCCGCUCCGCCGUUGAAACUGUGUGCCUUGAGUGCGCGAAGGGUAGGCGGAAUGCGUGGUGUAGCGGUGAAAUGCAUAGAUAUCACGCAGAACUCCGAUCGCGAAGGCAGCCUACCGGCGCGCAACUGACGCUCAUGCACGAAAGCGUGGGUAUCGAACAGGAUUAGAUACCCCGGUAGUC
Molecule: ribosomal RNA, 459 nt
Filed under: uncultured bacterium
Lineage: Bacteria
Description: partial 16S ribosomal RNA
Rfam family: Bacterial small subunit ribosomal RNA
Source: RNAcentral